AGGGCCCCGUUGGGGCACUGGCGGGCCCGAGCCGUGUCGCGCCGCCCCCAGCGAGACCGCCUCCCUGUCCCAUUCACGUCCUCUGGCUGUCGCCCUCUCUGGUGACGCCCAUCACUGCAAAGACCCUUUUCCUUCAUCGGUGUUUGCUGUUCUUCCUGCCAGUGCGUGUUGCUUUCACUUACACUUGCCACAGCCAGCCUCGUGAGUGCCUAGCCUAUUGGAUAUCACUGUCACCUACACAGGACAGUCAUUACCUUUCUACUAAUACUUUGUUUUUAAUUUCACAUUAAUUUCCAUAUUGUAUAAAUGACUAGAAAAAACUUGAGCCCCUGCCCCUGUAUAAUCAUGUGCACGUCCCUGUUCUAGUUCCAAGGUGAAUCUUCACUGCUCAUGUUCUCCUCAGAAGCAGUCACCUCACUCCCCUCAGGUUACUGUACACAUGCACCAACUGCCUGCUUCAGGUUUGGAUGGAGCUUCAUGGUUGUCUUUUGGAGAAAUGAGCAGUCAAGUUAUGUUUGAAAUUUGAUUUUUUUCAGGGGCAAAAGGAGCCUCUGCAUUCUUGUCAAAUAUGUAAAUAGCAUGUUUUUGCAGGUGCUAAAAAACAGACUCUGAGUGUGUGUGUGUGUGUGUGUGUGUGUGUGUGUCUCUCUGUGUGUGUGUAUAUCUUGCAGUACUCUGAGAAGAAUAAUAAGCAUAUUUCUGAGGUGAAUUUUGAAGAUUCAUCUGAGAGUUAGGAGGGCUGAUUGAAGGUCAAAGCUUAGAUCCAUUAGGUAUAAAUAGAAAAAGCAUUAAAAUAUGUUAGGAUUAUGGCAUUUAACAAAUGUGUGCCUUUCAGCGGCCAUAACUACUUUGUCUGCUGUCAAUAGAAAACUCCCUUUGGCGCCACUCAAUGGCCAAAACGACUUUUAAGAAUGUGGAUUUUUGGGUCCUCUUUGGCGCCCCCUAGAACGUAGACCGUGGGGUGCAGCGUCAUGAUUUUUACAACUUUGAAUGGCCAUGGGGUGUAGAUUGGCCUGAGCAAAUUUGGUGCCGAUGGGGCGAAAGCUUUAGGAGGACUUAGCCACAUUCCAAUGUGUGCGAAUCAGCAAAAAAUGGGAAAUAGCCCUUUAACCGUACAUUUGACAGAUACGUGCGCAUUGACUUUUUCGUAGAUCUUAUUGAGAUACACGUGAUUGUCAAAUUUUGUGUCAAUAUGACAAAGCGUACAGGCGUGACACUCAACAAUGUGUAUUUUCACCUUAGGGGACAAGAAAAAAUGGACUUUUUUCUCCUGCCAUGGGGGGGCGCUCUUUUGGGGAGUAAAAAUUCCUUCACAAAUGUGUUGAUGGCUGGACAUUGCAUCAUCCUAGAAAACUUGGAGGCCAGUGAGGACAAAAUAAAAAAGUUAUAAGACUUUUAAAUAUGUGGAUUUUAGGGUUGUUUUUGGCGCCCCCUAGAACCUAAACCGUGGGGUGCAGCGUCAUGAUUUGAACAACUUUUAAUGGCCAUGGGGUGUAGAUUGGCCUGAGCAAAUGUGGUGCCGGUGGAACCAAAGCCUUCGGAGGAGUUAGCGAAAUUCCAAUGUGUGCGUAUCGGCAAAAAAUGCGGAAUAACCCUUUAACCGUACAUUUGACAGAUACGCGCGCAUGGACUUUUUUGUAGAUCUUAUUGAGAGACAUGUGUGUGUCAAUUUUUGUGUCAUUUUGCCAAAGCGUACAGGCGUGACACUCAACAAUGUGUAUUUUCACCUUAGGGGACAAGAAAAAAUGGACUUUUUUCUCCUGCCAUGGGGGGGCGAUCUUUUGGGGAGUAAAAAUUCCUUCACAAAUGUGUUGAUGGCUGGACAUUGCAUCAUCCUAGAGAACUUGGAGGCCAGUGAGGACAAAAAUAAAAAGUUAUAAGACUUUUAAAUAUGUGGAUUUUAGGGUUAUUUUUGGCGCCCCCUAGAACCUAAACCGUGGGGUGCAGCGUCAUGAUUUGAAUAACUUUUAAUGGCCAUGGGGUGUAGAUUGGCCUGAGCAAAUGUGGUGCCGGUGGAACGAAAGCCUUCGGAGAAGUUAGCGAAAUUCCAAUGUGUGCGGAUCGGCAAAAAAUGCGAAAUAACCCUUUAACCGUACAUUUGACAAAUACGCCCGCACUGACUUUUUUGUAGAUCUUAUUGAGAUACAUAUGUGUGUCAAUUUUUGUGUCAAUAUGACAAAGCGUACAGGCGUGACAGUCAAUAGUGUGAAUUUACACCUUAGGGGGCGCUAUGGAGCCAUUUUGCAUUUUAUUGUUUGGGCGACUUCAGAAUAUCGAAUUUUUCACCAGGCCCGGUCGUCCUGCCAAAUUUCAUGAGUUUUCGCCAGUGGGAAGUGGGCCAUUUUCCAGUUCAAAGGGGAGGAAAAAGAAGAAAGAAAGAAAGAAAGAAACAAAGAAAAACCACUACAGGAACAACAGGGCUCUACGCCCGGAUGCUCUGCAGCUGGCUCGGGCCCUAAAAACAAAGAAAAACCACUACAAGAACAACAGGGCCUACGCCCGGCUGCUCUGCAGCUGGCUCGGGCCCAUAAGAAACUAGGGCCCCGUUGGGGCACUGGCGGGCCCGAGCCGUGUGCCCCCCCC
This is a non-coding RNA of Xyrichtys novacula (pearly razorfish), 2583 nucleotides long. Lineage: Eukaryota; Metazoa; Chordata; Actinopteri; Labriformes; Labridae. The record is from the annotation of a GenBank genome assembly.